GAUGAACGCUAGCGGGAGGCCUAACACAUGCAAGCCGAGCGGUAUUUGUCUUUCGGGACAGAGAGAGCGGCGUACGGGUGCGGAACACGUGUGCAACCUGCCUUUAUCUGGGGGAUAGCCUUUCGAAAGGAAGAUUAAUACCCCAUAAUAUAAUGAAUGGCAUCAUUUAUUAUUGAAAACUCCGGUGGAUAGAGAUGGGCACGCGCAAGAUUAGAUAGUUGGUGAGGUAACGGCUCACCAAGUCGAUGAUCUUUAGGGGGCCUGAGAGGGUGAUCCCCCACACUGGUACUGAGACACGGACCAGACUCCUACGGGAGGCAGCAGUGAGGAAUAUUGGACAAUGGGUUAGCGCCUGAUCCAGCCAUCCCGCGUGAAGGACGACGGCCCUAUGGGUUGUAAACUUCUUUUGUACAGGGAUAAACCUACUCUCGUGAGAGUAGCUGAAGGUACUGUACGAAUAAGCACCGGCUAACUCCGUGCCAGCCGCCGCGGUAA
RNAcentral lists this ribosomal RNA (495 nucleotides) under uncultured bacterium. RNAcentral's name for it is "partial 16S ribosomal RNA". It matches the Rfam family "Bacterial small subunit ribosomal RNA", at positions 28 to 523 of the family's 1533-position model. The record is from RNAcentral.